RNAcentral lists this ribosomal RNA (250 nucleotides) under uncultured bacterium. RNAcentral describes it as "partial 16S ribosomal RNA". It matches the Rfam family "Bacterial small subunit ribosomal RNA", at positions 524 to 773 of the family's 1533-position model. The record is from RNAcentral.
GACAGAGGGGGCGAGCGUUGCUCGGAAUCACUGGGCGUAAAGGGCGCGCAGGCGGGACGGCAGGUCGGUCGUGAAAUCCUCGGGCUCAACCCGAGGGCGCCGGCCGGGACCGUCGUUCUUGAGGGAGGCAGAGGAGACUGGAAUUCCCGGUGUAGCGAUGAAAUGCGUAGAGAUCGGGAGGAACACCGGCGGCGACGGCGGGUCUCUGGGCCUUCCCUGACGCUGAGGCGCGAAAGCGUGGGGAGCAAAC